RNAcentral lists this ribosomal RNA (253 nucleotides) under uncultured bacterium. RNAcentral's name for it is "partial 16S ribosomal RNA". It matches the Rfam family "Bacterial small subunit ribosomal RNA", at positions 524 to 776 of the family's 1533-position model. The record is from RNAcentral.
UACGUAGGGUGCGAGCGUUAAUCGGAAUUACUGGGCGUAAAGCGUGCGCAGGCGGUUCUAUAAGUCAGCUGUGAAAUCCCCGGGCUCAACCUGGGAAUGGCAUUUGUGACUGUAGAGCUAGAGUACGGUAGAGGGGGAUGGAAUUCCGCGUGUAGCAGUGAAAUGCGUAGAUAUGCGGAGGAACACCGAUGGCGAAGGCAAUCCCCUGGACCUGUACUGACGCUCAUGCACGAAAGCGUGGGGAGCAAACAGG